GAAAUGCGAUAAGUAAUGUGAAUUGCAGAAUUCAGUGAAUCAUCGAAUCUUUGAACGCACCUUUCGCUCCUUGGUAUUCCUUGGAGCAUGCCUUUUUGAGUAUCAUGAAAUCUUCAAAGUAAAUCUUUUGUUAACUCAAUUGGUUUCUACUUUGGUAUUGGAGGUCUUUGCAGCUUCACACCUGCUCCUCUUUGUUCAUUAGCUGGAUCUCAGUGUUAUGCUUGGUUCCACUCGGCGUGAUAAGUUAUCUAUCGCUGAGGACACUGUAAAAGGUGGCCAAGGUAAAUGCAGAUGAACCGCUUCUAAUAGUCCAUUGACUUGGACAAUACUUUUAUGAUCUGAUCUCAAAUCAGGUAGGACUACCCGCUGAACUUAAGC
This 378-nucleotide unclassified non-coding RNA is filed under the name plant metagenome. RNAcentral describes it as "partial contains 5.8S ribosomal RNA, internal transcribed spacer 2, and large subunit ribosomal RNA". The stretch from base 1 to 105 matches the Rfam family "5.8S ribosomal RNA", at positions 50 to 154 of the family's 154-position model. The record is from RNAcentral.